AUAUCAAAUGAAACACCACCAAUGAGCUUAUUAUUCACCAACUCUUUAUCUCUGACCAAGAUAUCUGCUAUCCUGGUCUGGAGGCCAUCCUUUGUGAAAGCAAACACUUGGUUCCACUCAGGGUUGGAGGUCUUGCCAAGAAAUCUUGUUGUUUCCAUGCAGUUACCGAUCUUUAGCUCAACAAAAGGGUCACAAGUGCCAGUCGCAUUAUUCACAGGCAAAAUCUUGGCUCUCGCAAUCCUAACAUGCACGUACUGUCGUUCUUCCACUAGCGAGAGCUUAUGAUUAGCUGCUGUGAUAUUCCGUGUGCCAAUAUUAGGUGUUGUCUCCUUGAGGGAGUAGUCCUCUUUUG
RNAcentral lists this unclassified non-coding RNA (352 nucleotides) under Hevea brasiliensis (rubber tree). Lineage: Eukaryota; Viridiplantae; Streptophyta; Magnoliopsida; Malpighiales; Euphorbiaceae. The record is from RNAcentral.